CUCCGCCCUAGUUUAUUAUUUACCCAUUCAGGGCCACGAUUUAUUUUUGGACGAGAACGUCGGUCCUUCUCACUCUCGUGGCCACCCGCCAGAGCCGCGCACUGGCCACGCUGGGAGAUGGAAGGCCAGAGAGAAUCCAGCCUAGCUGAGAGAAGGCGGGUCCUCGGGGGAGGGUCUUGGUCACGCCUGCCUCUUGAUCUUUUGUUUAUCUUCAUAGACAGCAACUAGGAGUGCGGGCAGCCGAAUUUUCGGAUUUCUCCACAUUCCUGACGAACGAAGAGACUGAUAUGCCAGUUUACAGCACUGUCUUUGCUGAAGACAUAAACAACGUCACUUAGAAAUUGACAUGGAGUUUUGAUGUCACCAUGGAGACACUGAUCCCACUGCUUUCCUGGUCCUCUCCUAUUGCUUGCCUGAGCCAUUCCUGCAGCCUCCACCCUCACUCCAUCCAUUCCAUCCCCCACAGCAGCCUUCAGAGGAAUCUUUUAAACAUACUGUCAACCACACAGACAUACAUCUGGCUGGCCUAGCCAAGGAGAACUGGGACAGAUGCCGCUUGGAUCUCUUCCUGCAGUACAGCUCCAUCUUUGUCUAUAAGGCAUUUUUACAUUUCUACAUGAACUUGUGAGGUCAAAUCUUUCACCUGCUGCUGCGCAGCCCCCAAGCAUGUCCCUCCCUUCUACAUCUGAGACUGGAUUUGAGGAGUUGUGAUUCUUUUAGAAGUUGGGAUUCUUCUCCAGUUUGUUGACAUUUGUCAACUCUCCUUCAAGGAAUGUGAAAAAGCUUAAAAGCCACAUGUGUGCCAAGGAGACAUGCCCUGUUGGGACAUGCCAUAGAGAAUUCAGCUCCUCUCAGGAAUGUUCUAUCUUUUGACACUUAUUUGCUCUUCAGGACUGGUGAGAAUUGGAAAGCCAAACAUUCUUGUAAGAGGUUGUACUGAUGACGUGGAAGGAUCUUGCCUAAGGUGCAGUGCUAUAAACCUCACAGCAGCCCCACUGGGGGCUCAUCUUAGAGAUGAGAAGUUGGAGGCUCGGGGAGACCAUCCACCUGAUGGUACCCCCUGGGGGAGGCCUGAACUCUGCCCCACCCACUGUGGGACACGGGACAUCACUGAGCCUCAUGUUCCUCACCUGAGCAAUGGGAACCACGGUUAGACUUGGUGAGGAAGUGCUGUGUGGGUCCACACAAGGCAGCGCACAGUAGGACCUCAAUCUUCAUACUGCUCUUACAUUAUUACUUUUUUUUAGUUUGUCCAUUGGUGAAAUAUAUAUAACAUAAAAUUUACCAUCCUAACCAUUUUUAAGUGUACAGUUCAGUGGCACUAAGUAUAUUCACACUCUUAUGCAGCCAUCACCACCAUCCAUCUCCAGAACUUUUUCAUCUUCUCGAAUUGAACCUCUGUCCCCAUUAAACAUUAACUUCCCAUCCCCAUCCCUGCAGCCCCUGGUAAAUUCUCUGCUUUCUCUCUCUAUGAAUUUGACUACUAUAGGUUCCUCACAUAAGUGGAAUCAUAAAGUAUUUAUCCUUCAAAAAA
Molecule: non-coding RNA, 1534 nt
Organism: Kogia breviceps (pygmy sperm whale)
Lineage: Eukaryota; Metazoa; Chordata; Mammalia; Artiodactyla; Physeteridae
Source: RefSeq, a predicted model, not a curated record